This is a long non-coding RNA of Quercus lobata, 617 nucleotides long. RefSeq lists it as uncharacterized. NCBI's taxonomy places the organism in Eukaryota, Viridiplantae, Streptophyta, Magnoliopsida, Fagales, Fagaceae. The transcript has 3 exons. The record is from RefSeq and is a predicted model, not a curated record.
CCCAGAAAAUAACAACAAAAAAAAAAGAGAGAAAUUUUAGGAAAGUGAGUUUCUCAUUCCUCAUACCUUCCUCUCUUUCUCUCUCUGCAUUUUCCAUAGAUCGAUUAAUAUUGGUCAGUACAACCAACACAGUAAAAUAAACCAAAAAGUGAGAAAACAAAAAUGUCUGAGGAAGAGAAAUUGUUGAAGGAGGCAAAGAAAUUGCCUUGGGAAGAUCGAUUGCUACACAAGAACUAGAAGGUCAGGAACGAAGCCAAUAUCGACUUGGCCGCGCUAUGUGAUUCCAUCGCAGAUCCCAAGGACUCUCGCCUUCGCGAUUUCGGUCUGCUUUUCAAGAAGACAGUUGCGGAUUCCAAUGCGUCGGUGCAAGAGAAGGCGCUCGACGCUUUGAUUGCGUUUUUACGAGCUGCUGAUUCCGAUGGCGCUAGGUAAGCCAAGGAAGUAUGCGAUGCAAUUGUGGCAAAAUGCCUCAUUGGAAGGACGAAGACAGUGGAGAAAGCUCAGGUGGCAUUCAUGCUUUGGAUAGAAUUGGAGGCAGUCGACCAGUUUUUGGUGCUUUUUCUCUUUUUCUCUCUAUGUUUAAUUUGAUGUUCUUAAUUUUUGGGUUUGUGAUUUUU